GACGAACGCUGGCGGCGUGCCUAACACAUGCAAGUCGAACGGAGUUCCCCUUCGGGGGGACUUAGUGGCGAACGGGUGAGUAACGCGUGAGAAACCUGCCUUCUAGUGGGGGACAACAGUUGGAAACGACUGCUAAUACCGCAUAACACUAUAGUACCGCAUGGUACAUUAGUCAAAGCUUUAUGUGCUAGAAGAUGGUCUCGCGUCUGAUUAGCUAGAUGGCGGGGUAACGGCCCACCAUGGCGACGAUCGGUAGCCGGACUGAGAGGUUGAACGGCCACAUUGGGACUGAGACACGGCCCAG
RNAcentral lists this ribosomal RNA (304 nucleotides) under uncultured bacterium. RNAcentral's name for it is "bacterial SSU rRNA". It matches the Rfam family "Bacterial small subunit ribosomal RNA", at positions 28 to 334 of the family's 1533-position model. The record is from RNAcentral.